RNAcentral lists this ribosomal RNA (326 nucleotides) under uncultured eukaryote. RNAcentral's name for it is "partial 18S ribosomal RNA". It matches the Rfam family "Eukaryotic small subunit ribosomal RNA", at positions 1470 to 1796 of the family's 1831-position model. The record is from RNAcentral.
CCCUUAGAUGUCCUGGGCCGCACGCGCGCUACACUGAACGGAUCAGCGCGUUUUCCCUUCCCGAGAGGGACGGGUAACCUGCUGAACCCCGUUCGUGGUAGGGGUCGGGGCUUGCAAUUAUUCCCCGUGAACCAGGAAUGCCCAGUAAGUGCAAGUCAUAAGCUUGCGUUGAUUACGUCCCUGCCCUUUGUACACACCGCCCGUCGCUACUACCGAUUGAACGUUUUAGUGAGGUACUCGGACUGAGCCUCAGAAGAUUCACGUCUUUUGUGCUGCUCGGGAAGAUUCCCAAACUUGAGCGUUUAGAGGAAGUAAAAGUCGUAACA